This 692-nucleotide ribosomal RNA is filed under the name uncultured bacterium. RNAcentral's name for it is "bacterial SSU rRNA". It matches the Rfam family "Bacterial small subunit ribosomal RNA", at positions 1 to 662 of the family's 1533-position model. The record is from RNAcentral.
CGUUCUCCGAAUGCCCCUACAGCUUAAUUUGAUCAUGGCUCAGAUUGCACGGUGGGUAACAGGCCUAACACAUGCAAGUCGAGCGGAUGACGGGACUUGCUCCUUGAUUCAGCGGCGGACGGGUGAGUAAUGCCUAGGAAUCUAGCCUAGGUAGUGGGGGACAACGUUUCGAAAGGAACGCUAAUACCGCAUACGUCCUACGGGAGAAAGCAGGGGACCUUCGUGGCCUUGCGCUAUCAGAUGAGCCUAGGUCGGAUUAGCUAGUUGGUGAGGUAAUGGCUCACCAAGGCGACGAUCCGUAACUGGUCUGAGAGGAUGAUCAGUCACACUGGAACUGAGACACGGUCCAGACUCCUACGGGAGGCAGCAGUUGGGGAAUAUUGGACAAUGGGCGAAAGCCUGAUCCAGCCAUGCCGCGUGUGUGAACGAAGGUCUUCGGAUUUGUAAAGCACUUUAAAGUUGGGAGGAAGGGCAGUAAGUUAAUACCUUGCUGUUUUGGACGUUACCGACAGAAUAAGCACCGGCUAACUCUGUGCCAGCAGCCGCGGUAAUACAGAGGGUGCAAGCGUUAAUCGGAAUUACUGGGCGUAAAGCGCGCGUAGUGUGGUUUGUUAAGUUGGAUGUGAAAGCCCCGGGCUCNAACCUGGAACUGGCUUCCCAAACUNGGCAGCAGAGUACGGGCAGAAGGGUGG